CUAUAAAGAAGAAAAAAAAAAGAUGAAAAAGAAGAAUUAAAUCAACAUGAAAUUGAACUUUUGUUCUAUCUUCCACAAGCAAGAAAUUCAACUGGAACAAUACAAAAUAUGAAAUUUUUAGCAAUCUUACGAGCAUUAUACACAAAUCUCAAUUCACGACAAAUAGGGGAAUGAAUCACUAACAUCACCCAAUUCGUAUAUUCAAAUAAUGUAUCCCCACUCCUAACAAGCAACGUGCUACCACAGUCGAUUAGUUGUUAGGGUUAAGGCUUACCAUAGAGAACUGGAUGGCGCUAACUAAAUGACAAGUUGAAACGGCAUCUGCAAUCGUAUUGAAUGACAUUGAACCGCGAGGUAGGGUUUAAAUGAAUACCGGGCAGAGAUAAAUUGGUGUGGUGAAUUAGGGUUUUGUGGCUACGUUUUAUUUCGAUUGAAAAAAGGAAUUUGAGCCAGGCUUUAAUAUGUAAAUUUUCGCUUAGUUGAAACAGAGGAAAGCUUUUGGGUUAUUAAAGUGAAAGAUAUGGAAUAAUACAAAAAAUUAUUGAAGUGAAAGAACAGGAAUACAAAAAAUCAGCAGAUGAGAUCGUUGAAAGAUGCGGACUGCUGUACGGCCAAGGCGGAUGUACGGUACAGCAGUGAUGGUCAUUUUGAAUCGACCGUUGAUUAAAAAAAUUCCUCAAAUAUUCACUCUAUAACAGUCCCAUGUUGAUGGCGUUGGGAAGUGUUUUCCAGAAAUGUUUUCCAUUUUUAAAAGCAUGAAUAUCGGGAAAAAAAAAUGGGAAAUACAGCGUUUUAGUUUAGUUAUUUUAAAAAUAGGCAUGUUUGAAAAUUAAAAUUUUUUAAAAACUAGCAUCAAGAUGAAAAAUGAAUUUAUAAUAUUUAAAAAUUAGCUGAAAUUCUUUCUCCGUUCCUAAUACUAAAUAGUGUAAAUGCAUUUUCAUUAUCUUUGUUUUUCUGGACUUCUAUUUAUUUAUUUUUGUUUUAAUUUUUUCCUUUUUUUCUUUAACAAAAAAUAUCUAGUAGACAUUCAUGGUUUGUUAUUUUUCAUAAAACAAUUGUAUGAUUUUGACAUACUUUGAAUCUAGUUGAAUGCUACUCUUUAUUUUCAGGUUGGAAUUCCCAAUAGUCUAGUGAAUCUUAAUGUAUCACUCUGUGAAAAAAUAGAAGAAAUCAUAGGACAUGUUGGAGAAGAAGCGAAGGAGAAUCGUAUUGCUUUCAGCGAAUUAAAACUUUUGGAACUUGAUUAUUUACCAAGGCUUACCAGCUUUUGUUCGGAGAAUUACACUCUUGAAUUCCCAUCAUUGGAACAAGUUUCUAUGACACAUUGUCUGAACAUGAAGACUUUUUCUCAGGGAAUCUUAUCCACACCAAAGCUAUGCAAAGUGCAAGUGAGUAAAAGGAAGUAUUAAGUUUUAUAUGAAACUGUGAUGUUGUUAGGUUACUAAGAAAAUAGGAAGAAAGAAAACUUCUGUAAGCUGAGAAUUCUGUUAUUAUUGAUCUAAUGAAUCUGGAAAUUACAAGCCUUUUUAUAUGUGCAUAGAAGAUUCUACACACAUUGCACACACGCACAGGUUACUACUAACAACCUCUAUAACAACCUUUAGCUGACUCAGCUGCCAUGUCAGCAUACUCAUUAACUAACUAAUUCUAUUCUUAACAGGAAGAGGGUGAAUUGCGCCGUUGGGAAGGCAACCUUAAUUCCACUAUACAAAAGUGUUACGAAGAAAUGGUAUGUGUUAAAUCGAUUCGUCGAAAUUACUUAUGCAUCUCCCUUGCACUUGCACAUUUGAACAUAUAAGUUUAAUGUAUAUAUAUAUCUAUGCCUUUCAAAAAGAAAAAAUUGUAUAUAUCCAGUGCAAUUGUUUUGGUUUGUGCAGAUUGGAUUUCGUGACAUAAUACAUUUGCAACUCUCGCAUUUUCCACGUUUGAAAGAAAUAUGGCAUGGCCAAGCACUGCCUGUCAGCUUCUUCAACAAUUUAUUCGACCUGGUGGUGGAUGACUGCACGAAUAUGUCGAGUGCUAUUCCUGCUAAUCUGCUACGGUGCUUGAACAAUUUGGUAUACCUGGAAGUGAGGAAUUGUGAUUCACUUGAAGAGGUGCUUCAUUUGGAAGAGCUAAUUAAUGCUGACAAAGAACAUAUAGGCCCCCUGUUUCCUAAGCUUUUCAAGCUAGGGCUCACUGACCUUCCAAAACUCAAAAGAUUUUUCAACUUCACUAGGAAUAUAAUUGAACUGCCUAAGUUGAGAUAUCUAACUAUUGAGAAUUGCCCUGAUAUGGAAACAUUCAUAUCCAAUUCUACAUCUGUACUGCACAUGACAGCAGAUAAUAAGGAAGCUCAAAAAUUAAAAUCAGAAAAGAACCUCUUGGUAGCUGAUCAAAUACAACAUCUCUUCAAUGAAAAGGUAAUCAUUAUUAUUAUUUUUCCCUUCACUUUCAUUCGCACAGAUGUAAUUUCAUUAGAAUCAAAUCAAAUUUAAUGACUCAUCUUUUUACAUGUCGUCUUAAUUUAUAUCUGAUUUAACAAUAUAACCUCCGUUAUUAACUAACUUUAUAGUAUGAAUUAUAAAAAUGUCUUAAAUUAUUUCGAUGACUGGUAACAUGAGGUGAUGAACUAUAUUUCAAUUAUGCUUGUCGCAUCUCUGUUUUCCUAGCUAAUUCAUUUGGAUUUAGUAUCAGAUUUCAUUUAUGUGUUUCAAAGGGUAAUCGAUUUGAUACUUAUAUUUGGGAUCCUACUGCAAAGCAUACUAAUUUGGAAAAAAAAAUAUAAAAUGCUGUGAUUAAUCUUGUCCAUAAAAUAUGCAGGGGAAGACUGCAGAGAUUGGAUACAUAUUUUAAUUUACAACUUAAUUUUGUUGAUUUUCAGGUUGCAUUCCCUAAAUUGAGGGAGUUAAAGCUGUCUAAAUUACACAAAGUGCAGCAUCUCUGGAAGGAAAAUGACGAAUCCAACAAAGCGUUUGCAAACUUGGGAAGUCUAGAAAUAUCAGAAUGUAGUAAGUUACAAAAAUUAGUACCACCUUCGUGGCAUUUGGAAAAUCUGUGGGGACUACAAGUAUCGAAGUGUCACGGGUUGAUAAAUGCGUUGACGCUCUCAGCAUCUAAAAAUCUAGUGAAUCUUCAAAGAAUAAAGAUAGCUGAUUGCAAAAUGAUAGAAGAAAUCAUACAAUCGCAGGUUGGAGAAAAAACGAAAGAUUGCAUUGUUUUCAAGGAAUUAAAGUACUUGGAACUUGAUUGUUUGCCAAUCCUAACAAGCUUUUGUUUGGGUAAUUACGCUCUUGAAUUCCCGUCCUUGAAACAAGUAGUUGUGAGACAGUGUCCAAAAAUGAAGAUCUUCUCUCAAGGAGUCUUAGACACACCAAUGCUAAACAAAGUGAACGUCACCGAAGAAGAAAAAGAUGAUGAUGAAGGAUGUGGGGAAGGCAACCUCAAUGACACCAUAAAAAAAUUGUUCAAUGAAAUGGUGAGUAUCAAUUAAGUUUUGGUGCUAUUUAGAUAAAAUAAGAAGAGCUUACUAGGUGCAUUUGAUCAACAAUCCAAUCCUCAACGAUGGAAUCGAUGCCAUCAAAUAAACAUGACUUAAUCUUGAAACCACAAACUGCACUAAGCAUAGCACCAAAGCCAGAGCGUGACUAUAAAGAAGAAGAAAAAAGAAGGCAAAGAAGAAUUAAAUUAACAUGAAAUUCAACUGGAACAAUACAAAAUAUGAAAUUUUUAGCAAUCUUACGAGCAUUAUACACAAAUCUCAAUUCACGACAAAUAGGGGAAUGAAUCACUAACAUCACCCAAUUCGUAUAUUCAAAUAAUGUAUCCCCACUCCUAACAAGCAACGUGCUACCACAGUCGAUUAGUUGUUAGGGUUAAGGCUUACCAUAGAGAACUGGAUGGCGCUAACUAAAUGACAAGUUGAAACGGCAUCUGCAAUCGUAUUGAAUGACAUUGAACCGCGAGGUAGGGUUUAAAUGAAUACCGGGCAGAGAUAAAUUGGUGUGGUGAAUUAGGGUUUUGUGGCUACGUUUUAUUUCGAUUGAAAAAAGGAAUUUGAGCCAGGCUUUAAUAUGUAAAUUUUCGCUUAGUUGAAACAGAGGAAAGCUUUUGGGUUAUUAAAGUGAAAGAUAUGGAAUAAUACAAAAAAUUAUUGAAGUGAAAGAACAGGAAUACAAAAAAUCAGCAGAUGAGAUCGUUGAAAGAUGCGGA
Molecule: long non-coding RNA, 4191 nt
Filed under: Citrus sinensis (sweet orange)
Lineage: Eukaryota; Viridiplantae; Streptophyta; Magnoliopsida; Sapindales; Rutaceae
Description: long non-coding RNA (CSIN_LNC005503)
Source: RNAcentral